AGAGCGAACGCUGGCGGCAGGCCUAACACAUGCAAGUCGAGCGCCCGUAGCAAUACGGGAGCGGCAGACGGGAUAGUAACACGUGGGAACGCGCCCUUCGGUUCGGAAUAACUCAGGGAAACUUGAGCUAAUACCGAAUACGCCCUUACGGGGAAAGAUUUAUUGCCGAAGGAACGGCCCGCGUCCGAUUAGCUAGUUGGUGAGGUAAUGGCUCACCAAGGCUACGAUCGGUAGCUGGUCUGAGAGGAUGACCAGCAUCACUGGGACUGAGACACGGCCCAGACUCCUACGGGAGGCAGCAGUGGGGAAUAUUGGACAAUGGGCGCAAGCCUGAUCCAGCCAUGCCGCGUGGAUGAUGAAGGCCUUAGGGUUGUAAAGUUCCUUUUAACGGGGAAGAUAAGUGACGGUACCCGUAGAAUAAGCCCCGGCUAACUUCGUGCCAGCAGCCGC
This 450-nucleotide ribosomal RNA is filed under the name uncultured bacterium. Its description in RNAcentral is "SSU rRNA". It matches the Rfam family "Bacterial small subunit ribosomal RNA", at positions 26 to 518 of the family's 1533-position model. The record is from RNAcentral.